AAGAAGCUGACAAGUCAAAUACCCCAAAUACCGCCCUUCUCAUCUGUCCAUUGUAUUUGGCUUGAAAAUUGAUAGUUCCUGAUAAUGCAACUAUGCUUGCCACAUCUACAACAAGUACCUCUCCCACUUCAAGAUUUUUCUGUACAACUGAAUGAUGAAAAACAUUGGGCAGGAAUAAAGGGAUCAGAUGAUAAAACUUGUGAUGUUCAAUACACUUAAGAUUCCUUAAUAUCAUAAAACAGAAAAAAUUUAAUGGGCCAAGUAUUUCGUAUUUGGCAACAAAUACGUUAGAAAUCUUAACCAUCCAAUUCUCAUGAGAAACACCAAUAGCAUCCCAAUGAACACAUAAUGCUUUGUAUUCACUGAGAAGGAUCAUCUUUCUGACUAUAACCAACAUCUAAGUACACUGUAGAUCUUCACAUUAAGAUUAAGAAUAUAUUACAAUAAUCGGUGUCCAAAAUUAAAAUAACGUUUGUCGGAAAUCAGAAAAACAUGACGAUAGCAUCUCAUUGCCUGUAUCUAAGAUAGUUUUAAAGUUUCUAGGACGACCCACAUUUUCUCUCUUUUGCCGGUUUAAACAUACAACAUGAAUCAAACACUUAAAUUAUAGCCAUGCCUAAAAAGUGAAAAAGGUUUUUUCACAGUAACUGAGAUUCAGCUUCAUACCAGAACCGCCUCCGACUAUAAAAGCAAGCCCUUGUCC
Molecule: long non-coding RNA, 703 nt
Filed under: Nicotiana tabacum (common tobacco)
Lineage: Eukaryota; Viridiplantae; Streptophyta; Magnoliopsida; Solanales; Solanaceae
Description: long non-coding RNA (NTAB_LNC013753)
Source: RNAcentral